GAUGAACGCUGGCGGCGUGCCUAAUACAUGCCAGUCGAGCGAACGGACGAGAAGCUUGCUUUUCUGAUGUUAGCGGCGGACGGGUGAGUAACACGUGGAUAACCCACCUAUAAGACUGGGAUAACUUCGGGAAACCGGAGCUAAUACCGGAUAAUAUUUUGAACCGCAUGGUUCAAAAGUGAAAGACGGUCUUGCUGUCACUUAUAGAUGGAUCCGCGCUGCAUUAGCUAGUUGGUAAGGUAACGGCUUACCAAGGCAACGAUGCAUAGCCGACCUGAGAGGGUGAUCGGCCACACUGGAACUGAGACACGGUCCAGACUCCUACGGGAGGCAGCAGUAGGGAAUCUUCCGCAGUGGGCGAAAGCCUGACGGAGCAACGCCGCGUGAGUGAUGAAGGUCUUCGGAUCGUAAAGCUCUGUUAUUAGGGAAGAACAUAUGUGUAAGUAACUGUGCACAUCUUGACGGUACCUAAUCAGAAAGCCACGGCUAACUACGUG
Molecule: ribosomal RNA, 497 nt
Filed under: uncultured bacterium
Lineage: Bacteria
Description: partial 16S ribosomal RNA
Rfam family: Bacterial small subunit ribosomal RNA
Source: RNAcentral